UUGCCUUGCUGGAGAAGGGGCUCAAGGCACAGGACUUGCCUCGGACUUGCCAAGGAGGCUUGCAGGAGGCUCUUUGUCUACUCCUCUGUCCUCAUCCAAGAAAUGGUUGUUCCAGAAAAAAUGCAGCAACACCUGAACUCUUCUAAAGAAAAAGAAGACAAAAUGAUCUAGUGCAUCUCUGCCAUCCUGUUGAAGAUCCUAUUUGAAAAAAGGGAGACACAGAGAAAGGUUUUUUUUUUUUUUUAAAAGUGAUAGAAUAAUCCAAAGUUAAAAAUUCAACACAAUGGAAAAUAUUAAUUCAAUCCAUGCUGCAAACAAG
This 319-nucleotide long non-coding RNA is filed under the name Homo sapiens (human). RNAcentral describes it as "HSALNT0105582". The record is from RNAcentral. Lineage: Eukaryota; Metazoa; Chordata; Mammalia; Primates; Hominidae.